This is a long non-coding RNA of Pseudopipra pipra, 375 nucleotides long. RefSeq lists it as uncharacterized. Lineage: Eukaryota; Metazoa; Chordata; Aves; Passeriformes; Pipridae. The record is from RefSeq and is a predicted model, not a curated record. The transcript is spliced from 4 exons.
CCAGGUGCCCCCAGGUGCCCCCAGGUGUGUCCAGUUGCCCCCAGGUGUGCCCAGGUGCCCCCAGGUGUGCCCAGGUGCCCCCACGUGCCCCCAAAUAUACCCAGGUGCCCCCAGGUGUGCCCAGAUGCCCCCAGAUGCCCCCAGGUGCCCCCAGGUGUGCCCAGUUGUCCCCAGGUGCCCCCAGGUGCCCCCAGGUGCCCCCAGAUGCCCCCAGGUGCCCCCAGUUGCCCCCAGGUGUGCCCAGAUGCCCCCAGGUGCCCCCAGGUGCCCCCAGGUGUGCCCAGGUGUGUCCCAGGUGCCCCCAGAUGCCCCCAGGUGCCCCCAGGUGCCCCCAGGUGUGCCCAGGUGCCCCCAGGUGUGCCCAGGUGUGCCCCU